Non-coding RNA from Cicer arietinum (chickpea), 616 nucleotides. Lineage: Eukaryota; Viridiplantae; Streptophyta; Magnoliopsida; Fabales; Fabaceae. The record is from RefSeq and is a predicted model, not a curated record.
UCCUAGUUAAAAACAAUAAUUAUUAGUGCUAGAAAGAAAAGGUAGUACAAUUAAAAGGAGUUGUUAGGAAUGGGUUUCAUUUAUGUGUGUGUGUGAAGAAUAUUUCAGGUGCAUGCGCAAAGACACACGAUUUUGAUUUUUAUUGAGUACAAAUUAAGCAUGAGAAACCCUAAACAAACUCGUGGAAGCUAAAGUGCAAUAAAAAUGUAUAUAUAUGUCACUUUCUUUCUGAUGGCACACAGGUUAGUAUAUGUACAUUUAUGAUCUCUUUUCUCUUUGUUAGGUUUUUGAGGUUUGAUUUUGAAUAUGAAUGGCAGAGCCAAAUUAUUGCAUAUAUGUAUGUGUAUUCUCCCUUGUGAUUUCUUUUCAGUUACACUAAUUUCAAUGUGAUACGACAUAAAGUAUGGGACAAAAGUUGAAUGAGAGAAGUGAGAUCAUGUAGCUAGCCAUGCAUAUGUUUAUUAAUCUUACCUUCUUUAUUCAAUGUUGAAAUUGUUAGUAUUAUGUUUAUUCAAUGUUGAAAUUGUUAGUAUUAUAUUCGAGGAAGAUUUGAAUGAUCAGACUUUGUAUCACUUAUUUUUUAAAGAUUUGAUUUGAAUCAUCUCAUUUUUCAUCA